AUAUUUAUUCUUUUAUUAUAA
RNAcentral lists this transfer RNA (21 nucleotides) under Dolichovespula albida. Its description in RNAcentral is "partial tRNA-Leu". The record is from RNAcentral. Lineage: Eukaryota; Metazoa; Arthropoda; Insecta; Hymenoptera; Vespidae.